UACAGAGGAGAUGGGGAGGAGUGGGCCCGUGGCCCCCACGUCCUACUCCGUGGGGGUCUCCCCAGCUCAGGGCCCCUUCCUCUCUGUGUCUCUGCUCACUGCUGUGGCCUCUUUCCAUAUCCCGCAUCCCGCUGGAGCUGCCCCUCCUGAGGCUGUGGGGUGGGGGCAGGCCCUCCCCCUCCCCCUUCCCCCCAUUUCCCUGGGGGCCGGCCUCCCUGCCUGGGGAAGGUGGGUGGCCCCCUCUGGGCUCAGGUUCCUGGGCUGCAGUGAGGGGUGGGCUCAACCCCACUCCCAUUCUGUCGGAGCCUCUGGGAGCCUCCGGGCUGCCCACAGCCUCUGCCCCUGCUGGGGGCAGGUGUCUGGCCCCUGGCCCCUGCCUUCCCGGCCCAGCCCCCUUCGCUGGGACACAGGUGGCCCUACUGAAUGACAACUGUCCAUGGCUAAUCGGCUCCCCCUCAAAGCUUCCACCUUCUGAACAGCCCCACACCAUGGCCACGGUUCCAGAUCUUUCCACCGUGUGAUGCUUCCAACAGCCUGACGGGGGGCCGGGGCGGUGACAGGGGCUGGCUGUGAGGCUGACCUCACCUUCCAGCCUUGACCUUCUACCCCAGGGCCCUGCCCUCCAGCCCACUUGUGCCAGGGCGGGGUGGUUCAGCGGGUCCAGUGCCUGGGCCUGGCUGGUGGCAUUUGUGAAGCGGCUUGCUUAUCUCCUUGUAUUCUGCGCUGAGCAUUUUAUUACAGCGAAUGGAAAACAGGAGAAAUGAAACUGCUGAUAUUAGUGAUGAGAUGCGUCAGGCUCAUCAGCUUAAAAUAACCGAAGCGAGGCUAGAAACCGCCUGACAGCUGCGCAGCUGCCUGGCUCCGAGAGACACUCGGCCCGACUGUGAAGGGAAAACAUUAAAGCACUGAAACGGUGGAAAAAGAGCAUCAAAGAUGAUGUCUGUGAGGCGCGGCCACGGCGAGGAAGCUCUCGUUUAUGAACAAAGGGCCACUCCCGGGUCUCAGAGAUGCAGAUUCUGGACAGAGCUGCCCUCUGCCCCCAGCCUGUGUUGAAAGCUGUCUCCGCUCCGGUGCAGCCUCCUCAAGGCUCCGAGCUUCGUGGGACAGGGAAUGCUGCGGAGUGGGCUGGAGGGGGCGCUGGGCCCAGGCGGUGGGCUCUGAGGGAACCUGGACACCCAGGCCGUCCCCCUGGCCUGCUCCUUCCUCGCAGAGGGUCAUGCCCCCUCCCAAUCACUGGCCCUGGGACAGAAGCGGCCAGAUUCAA
Long non-coding RNA from Cercocebus atys (sooty mangabey), 1264 nucleotides. RefSeq lists it as uncharacterized. The record is from RefSeq and is a predicted model, not a curated record. The transcript has 3 exons. Lineage: Eukaryota; Metazoa; Chordata; Mammalia; Primates; Cercopithecidae.